GGUCCGUCGCCCGCCUCUCUUGGACAAGUCCAGGCGAUGUGAGCACGCCCAGCCUCCUACAUUUCACUCCCGUCUCUCCCAAACAGACCUAGCGCAAAACGAGCACUGACACAGCGGGGGCCCACAUCCCGGAGGUUCUUUAGGGAGAGGUCGGGGAGUGCGGUUACCUAUGGCUCCGAAGUCCCCGCUGGCAUCCUGAAA
RNAcentral lists this long non-coding RNA (201 nucleotides) under Homo sapiens (human). RNAcentral describes it as "HSALNT0248955". Lineage: Eukaryota; Metazoa; Chordata; Mammalia; Primates; Hominidae. The record is from RNAcentral.